Molecule: ribosomal RNA, 763 nt
Filed under: uncultured Streptococcus sp.
Lineage: Bacteria; Bacillati; Bacillota; Bacilli; Lactobacillales; Streptococcaceae
Description: bacterial SSU rRNA
Rfam family: Bacterial small subunit ribosomal RNA
Source: RNAcentral
GAUGAACGCUGGCGGCGUGCCUAAUACAUGCAAGUAGAACGCUGAAGGAGGAGCUUGCUCUUCUGGAUGAGUUGCGAACGGGUGAGUAACGCGUAGGUAACCUGCCUCUUAGCGGGGGAUAACUAUUGGAAACGAUAGCUAAUACCGCAUAAAAGUCGACAUUGCAUGAUGUUGACUUGAAAGGUGCAACUGCAUCACUAAGAGAUGGACCUGCGUUGUAUUAGCUAGUUGGUGAGGUAACGGCUCACCAAGGCGACGAUACAUAGCCGACCUGAGAGGGUGAUCGGCCACACUGGGACUGAGACACGGCCCAGACUCCUACGGGAGGCAGCAGUAGGGAAUCUUCGGCAAUGGACGGAAGUCUGACCGAGCAACGCCGCGUGAGUGAAGAAGGUUUUCGGAUCGUAAAGCUCUGUUGUAAGAGAAGAACGAGUGUGAGAGUGGAAAGUUCACACUGUGACGGUAUCUUACCAGAAAGGGACGGCUAACUACGUGCCAGCAGCCGCGGUAAUACGUAGGUCCCGAGCGUUAUCCGGAUUUAUUGGGCGUAAAGCGAGCGCAGGCGGUUAGAUAAGUCUGAAGUUAAAGGCUGUGGCUUAACCAUAGUACGCUUUGGAAACUGUUUAACUUGAGUGCAGAAGGGGAGAGUGGAAUUCCAUGUGUAGCGGUGAAAUGCGUAGAUAUAUGGAGGAACACCGGUGGCGAAAGCGGCUCUCUGGCUUGUAACUGACGCUGAGGCUCGAAAGCGUGGGGAGCAAACAGG